ACCUGGCUGGCUCAGUCGGAGGAGCAUGGGACUCUUGAUCUCAGGGUCAUGAGUUCGAGCCCCAUGUUGGGUG
Non-coding RNA from Ailuropoda melanoleuca (giant panda), 73 nucleotides. The record is from Rfam. NCBI's taxonomy places the organism in Eukaryota, Metazoa, Chordata, Mammalia, Carnivora, Ursidae.